Ceratotherium simum simum (southern white rhinoceros) is the source of this 2013-nucleotide non-coding RNA. The record is from RefSeq and is a predicted model, not a curated record. NCBI's taxonomy places the organism in Eukaryota, Metazoa, Chordata, Mammalia, Perissodactyla, Rhinocerotidae.
CCCAAGGAAAUUGCCUAGCAGGAAGGGAUGAGGCCCUGUAGUCUUGUCCCUGACCGUAGAUAGUGUCUUAUCUGCCUACCUGCCUGUAGUUGCUGCGGGCUGGGUACAUUGAUUAAUGGAAGCAUAAGGAGAGAGCAGCAUCAAUCGCAUCAGUUCCUGGUAUCUCCUCUAAGGGCAAUGUGACUUUGGAGGAUGUGGCCGUGUACUUCUCCUGGGAGGAAUGGAGCCUCCUUGAUGAGGCUCAGAGACACCUGUACCAUGAUGUGAUGCUGGAGAACUUUGCACUCAUAUCCUCACUGGGUUGUUUGUGUGGUAUAGAGGAGGCACCUUCUGGACAGAGUGUUUCUCUGGAAAGAGUGCCACAAAUCAGGAUUCCAAAACCAGAUCAGUCAACUCAAAAGGCUCAUCUUUGUGAGAUGUGUGUUCCUGUCAUGAAAGAUAUUUUGUAUCUGGCUGAGCAUCAAGGAAUAUAUACUGGGCAGAAAUCAUACACAUGUGUGGAAUGUGGGAAACAAUUCUGUUUCAGUGCAAAUCUUCAGCAACACCAGAAGGAGCACAGUGGGAAAAAACCCUACAGCAAGGACAUAGACAGGGCCUCCUUUGUGAAGAACUAUGGAAGCCAUUCGUCAGGGAAGCUUUUCACCUGUCAGGAGGUUGGAAAGGACUUCUUGGUCAAUGUGGGCCUUCUCCAGAACCAGGCCACUCCCAAAGCAGUACUGAGUAUGCAUAGCAGUACUGAGCUUGAGGAGGCCUUUCACAGUGGAAAAAGUCCUUAUAAGUGUGGUGAAUGUGGGAAAGCCUUCCGCCGCAAACGUACACUUGUCCAGCACCAGAGAAUCCACACUGGAGAAGGACUGUAUGAGUGUAGUGAAUGUGGGAAAACCUUCAGCUACAAGCACACAUUUGUUCAACACAAGACAGUCCACACUGGAGAAAGGCCUUUUGGGUGCAGUGAAUGUCAGAAGUCCUUCAGGUUCAAAUAUAAACUUGUUCAGCACCAGCGUAUUCACACUGGAGAAAGACCUUAUGUGUGCAGCGAAUGUGGGAAAGCUUUUGGGUGCAAAUCCAAACUUGUUCGGCACCAGAGAAUUCACACUGGAGCAAGGCCUUAUGAGUGUGCUGAAUGUGGCAAAUUCUUUAGACAAAGCUCCAGCCUCGUUCAACACCGAAGAAUUCACACUGGAGCAAGGCCUUAUAAAUGUGGUGAAUGUGGGAAGUCUUUUAGCCAAAGCUCCAUCCUCAUUCAACACCGGAGAGUUCAUACUGGAGAAAGGCCAUAUGAGUGCAGUGAAUGUGGGAAAUCUUUUAGACAAAGCUCUAGCCUCAUUCAACACCGAAGAGUUCACACGGGAGCAAGGCCUUAUGAGUGCAGUGAAUGUGGGAAAUCCUUUAGCCAGAGCUUCAGCCUCAUUCUACAUCGGAGAAUUCACACUGGAGAAAGGCCUUAUGAGUGCAGGGAAUGUGGAAAAUCUUUUAGCCAAAACUACAGCCUCAUUCAACACCAUAAACUUCACAAUAGAUAAAGGUCUCAAGAGUGCAGCCGACAUGAGCAAGCCUUCAGUUAACAGUCUGCUGUGAUUCAACACCAAAAACUUCACAACCCAGAUAAUUUUUUGAAUUGAGCAAUUGUGGGAAAGCCUUUAGCCAAAGAUUUAAACUCAUUCAGCAUGAGAACUGCCACAUAAGCUAAUGGCCUUAGAUCUUCAGGGAAUGUGCUAUCUCUUUAUUUAGUGUGAUGGCACUAGAGAGCCUCUGUGAGGAACCAUCUGCCAUGAGUUCCAGAGAUAAUCUCCAGUCCCCAUGCAGACACUGUCACUGCACUUACAGGUAAAAUGAUGAUCACUCCCCAGCAGGGAGAUGAGAUCAUGGAACCCAAACCUUUAUCUCAAGGGUAAGGUGCCCCCUUUACACACAUGCUCCAAAUCUGACCACGACAUCUGCUAUCCCAGCAGGGAACGACAUUUGGUAAGUGAAACUUUUUUUUAUAUAAAGAGACAGAUUCUUAGAGGAAUA